GAGCUUGCUCCCUGAUGUUAGCGGCGGACGGGUGAGUAACACGUGGGUAACCUGCCUGUAAGACUGGGAUAACUCCGGGAAACCGGGGCUAAUACCGGAUGCUUGUUUGAACCGCAUGGUUCAAACAUAAAAGGUGGCUUCGGCUACCACUUACAGAUGGACCCGCGGCGCAUUAGCUAGUUGGUGAGGUAAUGGCUCACCAAGGCGACGAUGCGUAGCCGACCUGAGAGGGUGAUCGGCCACACUGGGACUGAGACACGGCCCAGACUCCUACGGGAGGCAGCAGUAGGGAAUCUUCCGCAAUGGACGAAAGUCUGACGGAGCAACGCCGCGUGAGUGAUGAAGGUUUUCGGAUCGUAAAGCUCUGUUGUUAGGGAAGAACAAGUACCGUUCGAAUAGGGCGGUACCUUGACGGUACCUAACCAGAAAGCCACGGCUAACUACGUGCCAGCAGCCGCGGUAAUACGUAGGUGGCAAGCGUUGUCCGGAAUUAUUGGGCGUAAAGGGCUCGCAGGCGGUUUCUUAAGUCUGAUGUGAAAGCCCCCGGCUCAACCGGGGAGGGUCAUUGGAAACUGGGGAACUUGAGUGCAGAAGAGGAGAGUGGAAUUCCACGUGUAGCGGUGAAAUGCGUAGAGAUGUGGAGGAACACCAGUGGCGAAGGCGACUCUCUGGUCUGUAACUGACGCUGAAGAGCGAAAGCGUGGGGAGCGAACAGGAUUAGAUACCCUGGUAGUCCACGCCGU
Molecule: ribosomal RNA, 743 nt
Filed under: Bacillus subtilis
Lineage: Bacteria; Bacillati; Bacillota; Bacilli; Caryophanales; Bacillaceae
Description: bacterial SSU rRNA
Rfam family: Bacterial small subunit ribosomal RNA
Source: RNAcentral